UGAGCUCGCAUUUUUAUUGUUGAGUGAGUUGAAAGAACAAUUGUAUACCCUUUCUCUCUUUUGGCCCUCUCAUUUGAGGGGGAUUAAUAUUUUCUUCUUGUUAUCAUUACCAGUUUACAGAUGAAGAAACUGAGAUACAAAGAGCUUAUGGGUGUUAUUCAAGGACACAAAGCUGACAUGUGGUUCUCUGUUAUUGAAUGAGAUCGAUUUAAAAAAUUACAUCAAGGCGUGUUUGUUAUAUGAAUGGGCCUAAAAGGGCAGGAGGAGUGAAUCGUGAUGCCAGAGGUUGAUGAAAGCAGGAAUACAAAAAGAGUUGUCUGGCCAGAGCUGUGACUAUAGGUAGAGAAAGAACACAGCUGCUGUCUGAACUGCGGACAGGUUGUCUCCCAGGGGAGUUAAUUUGCCCACACGGCUGGUUGUUCCGGCAUCAGAGCAAGCCCCGUGGAGUGAGAAAGUCCUCAGGAGGAGCAGCAAAGAGUGACAGGCACCUGAGUUGUCAGAAGCUGAAGCUGUCUUCCCAGCUGUAGAAAAUAGCUGUGGCACUACCCACCCCCUACUGCCAUCAUUAAGAGCACAUGGGCUCCGUGUCUACCUCUGUCCUGAGCCAAUGUUCAGGACAACGUCCAGGACUGUGGUCCUGGAAUUUCCAAUGUACUCUGGGACCAAGAUUGUCUGGAUUAUAACAAAUUUUGGCACAAGUGUGUUGAAAACACAUGAGAGAAAACCAAAGGGAUAAAAAUGGUGAAUUCUGUACAAUUCAUUCAUUUGUUCAUUCAUUCAUUCAUAAAUUGACUCAAAUAUUACUGAUCGAGCAACACAGUUCUAGACUCACGGUAGGUCCUUAGUGUUUGUGGGAUUGCCCAGACAGGGACAGGUACAGAAGUAUGUCCCCCAGGGCUACUGAGAGCCAGGUGGGGAAGACUGGUGUACUCCACCCUUAUUUUCCUCCCACUCAACUCAAGGUGCAGACUCCUCAUGGCUCAGGAUGGAUGGAGUUCAGUUGGGAAAAGUGCAUUCUUUUUUUUUUUUUU
Molecule: long non-coding RNA, 1031 nt
Organism: Herpailurus yagouaroundi (jaguarundi)
Lineage: Eukaryota; Metazoa; Chordata; Mammalia; Carnivora; Felidae
Exons: 5
Source: RefSeq, a predicted model, not a curated record